This 447-nucleotide ribosomal RNA is filed under the name uncultured bacterium. RNAcentral's name for it is "bacterial SSU rRNA". It matches the Rfam family "Bacterial small subunit ribosomal RNA", at positions 355 to 825 of the family's 1533-position model. The record is from RNAcentral.
UCGAGAAUCUUCCGCAAUGGACGAAAGUCUGACGGAGCGACGCCGCGUGGUGGAUGAAGUAUUUCGGUAUGUAAACUUCGAAAGAAUAGGAAGAAUAAAUGACGGUACUAUUUAUAAGGUCCGGCUAACUACGUGCCAGCAGCCGCGGUAAUACGUAGGGACCAAGCGUUGUUCGGAUUUACUGGGCGUAAAGGGCGCGUAGGCGGCAAUUCAAGUCAUCUGUGAAAUCUCCGGGCUUAACUCGGAACGGUCAGAUGAUACUGCUUUGCUAGAGUGCAGAAGGGGCAAUCGGAAUUCUUGGUGUAGCGGUGAAAUGCGUAGAUAUCAAGAGGAACACCUGAGGUGAAGACGGGUUGCUGGGCUGACACUGACGCUGAGGCGCGAAAGCCAGGGGAGCAAACGGGAUUAGAUACCCUCGUAGUCCCUGAGCGGGCUGGCAAGGCGCAU